AUGUAUCGAAUUUGUUUAUUCGGUGAUGGACAGACAUCUGUUGUACCAAUCAGUUGGAUUUUUGAUGACAAUGGAACAUUGAAGUGUCGAUGGACAUCAUCACUCUCAAACAUUAAAAACAAUUCUCCACCAAACCCUAACUGGAAGGUUUAUGACAUUGUGAAGAUCGUUGGACCAUCAAUUGGAGACUAUGAUCAAGCAAAUCAAUACAUCUCAGAUUACACAACGGGGGUCUCAGCAGCAGAGGACUCAAUUACUUAUUCAAUGACAGACCCUGCAGUUGUGGAAUUACCUGAGAAGAGAAAAAGGAAAAAUAAGCUCUGUGAUGAAAGUGACAUCAAUUCAGAGACAUCUUCCUGUGAAGAUGAUAUGAACUUGAAGCAGUCAGGAAAUGAAGUGAAGCAAUCUGGUCUGAAGUCAAGAAAUGUCCCACUGCCCAAACCUCCUAUAUACCAUGAUACUCUUCAGAGAAGUGGGAAAAAAGAUGAGGAUGAUCCCAAGCCCACAAGCUCUGAUGUCUCAGAAUUUCAUGAUCUUCAACAACAUCACAUGACUUAUAAAGAAAUUACAGUGCAAACCAGGAUACCAGAUGAUGUGCAUUUAAAGAAGUCAAGAAAUGCAAUGAAGCGAGUUGGUCUGAAGACAAAGAAUGUUCAGCUGGCCAAAACUCCCAGAUACCAUGUAGUCAAGAGUCCACUUAUUCAGAAAGCUCUGUGUGUCAAAACAUCUGGUGACUGUCUGGAUGAUAACAAUGAAAGCCCUGAUGACAGUUAUUUAAACUCAAGCCAGCCCAACCCAGUAUUCUUAGAUACUCUUCAGGGAAAUGUGGCAAUGCAUGAGGAUGAUCAUCCCAAAAGCUCUGCUUCUUCAGGGAAGGAACCAAAGGAAACAAAAUGCAAAGUCACCAUGGAGAAAUUGUUUGAUCUGAAUACUAAGAUACUCCAACAAAUUCAAAUGCUGGAACAGAGACAAGCUGUCAUCAUGAAUGACUUGGCAAAAGUUAAGUCUGUUCUCAUGAAGCGGGCAGAAGAAGAUGCCCAUGAGGAACUUUUUAAACAACAACAGUGCUCCAGCUUUGAAACGUUUGAAGCCUUCUGUCAGAGGCUUGAAGAAGACAAAAAUUAUCGAGAGCUUUAUGUACACUAUCUCAUCCAUACUCACGGCAGCUCCAAUAUAGGUGAGAUGGUGAGACAGGCUUUAAAAAGCAUAGCGUCAGACAAUGUUCUCUGUCUGUAUAACAGAACGGGGAAAGAUGGGAAGAAGGUGUUGCCACCUGUGCUCCUGACAUGUUUGAAAAAAUGUGUCAGGUCUUUUCACAAACAAAAUGAAAUAGAGGUGAAGAAGCUAAAAGUAACCACCAGAACAACACCAGACGCGGAAUGUAUUCGCCAAGUAGAAAUUUUUUUGUCCAACGCCAACACCAGGCUGAAAAGGAAACCAAAUAAAGGAAAAAGCUGA
This is a long non-coding RNA of Cyprinus carpio (common carp), 1458 nucleotides long. NCBI's taxonomy places the organism in Eukaryota, Metazoa, Chordata, Actinopteri, Cypriniformes, Cyprinidae. The record is from Ensembl.